ACGGGUGAGUAACGCGUGGGAACAUACCUCUUGGUUCGGAACAACACAGGGAAACUUGUGCUAAUACCGGAUAAGCCCUUACGGGGAAAGAUUUAUCGCCUAGAGAUUGGCCCGCGUCUGAUUACCUGGUUGGUGGGGUAAAGGCCUACCAAGGCGACGAUCAAUAACUGGUCUGAGAGGAUGAUCAGCCACAUUGGGACUGAGACACGGCCCAAACUCCUACCGGAGGCAGCACUGGGGAAUAUUGGACAAUGGGCGCAAGCCUGAUCCAGCCAUGCCGCGAGAGUGAUGAACGCCCUAGGGUUGUAAAGCUCUAUUGUACUGGAAGAUAAUGACGGUUCCGUACGAAUAAACCCCGGCUAACUUCGUGCCAGCGGCCGCGGUAAUACCAAGGGGGCUAGCGUUGCUCGGAAUCACUGGGCGUAAAGGGUGCGUAAGCGGGUUUUUAAGUCUUAGGUGAAAUCCUGGAGCUCAACUCCUGAACUGCCUUUGAUACUGAAAGUCUUGAAUAUGGGAGAGGUGAGUGGAACUGCUAGUGUAGAGGUGAAAUUCCUAGA
Molecule: ribosomal RNA, 557 nt
Filed under: uncultured bacterium
Lineage: Bacteria
Description: bacterial SSU rRNA
Rfam family: Bacterial small subunit ribosomal RNA
Source: RNAcentral